RNAcentral lists this ribosomal RNA (506 nucleotides) under uncultured bacterium. RNAcentral describes it as "partial 16S ribosomal RNA". It matches the Rfam family "Bacterial small subunit ribosomal RNA", at positions 355 to 858 of the family's 1533-position model. The record is from RNAcentral.
UAAGGAAUAUUGGUCAAUGGACGCAAGUCUGAACCAGCCAUGCCGCGUGAAGGAUGAAGGUCCUCUGGAUUGUAAACUUCUUUUAUAGGGGGCGAAAAAAGGGGAAAUCUUUCUCACUUGACAGUACCCUAUGAAUAAGCACCGGCUAACUCCGUGCCAGCAGCCGCGGUAAUACGGAGGGUGCAAGCGUUAUCCGGAUUCACUGGGUUUAAAAGGGUGCGUAGGCGGGCGUAUUAAGUCAGUGGUGAAAUCCUGGAGCUUAACUCCAGAACUGCCAUUGAUACUAUAUGUCUUGAAUAUGGUGGAGGUAAGCGGAAUAUGUCAUGUAGCGGUGAAAUGCAUAGAUAUGACAUAGAACACCUAUUGCGAAGCAGCUUACUACGCCUAUAUUGACGCUGAGGCACGAAAGCGUGGGGAUCAAACAGGAUUAGAUACCCUGGUAGUCCACGCCCUAAACGAUGAUUACUCGACCGUGUGCGAUAAACGGUACGCGUCUGAGCGAAAGC